Molecule: long non-coding RNA, 685 nt
Organism: Falco peregrinus (peregrine falcon)
Lineage: Eukaryota; Metazoa; Chordata; Aves; Falconiformes; Falconidae
Exons: 3
Source: RefSeq, a predicted model, not a curated record
UUUUUCCGGCCCCCCCCCAUGCAGCCUCCUGCCCCUCCCCUCUGUGACCGGCACGGCAGUAACCCCUCCGUGCCACCCUCUUGGUUUGCAGCCCCCCUGGCGUGCGGGUUGCUCACUGGCAGAGGCAAGCCCCCCGGCGCGGAGGGGGGAUGCUCGGCUCGCAGCCCCGUCACUCCCCAGCGCUCGUGGCCAUUGCCUGAUCUGACCCCCUGCGUGGGGCACUCGGGGCAAGGAAGCACAGAAUGGGGCCAGACAUGGCAUGUUUGGGGGGAUGCAGCGGUGAUUUGGGGGGAUGCGGUGGUGAUUUGGGGGGAUGCGGCUGUGAUUCGGGGCAUGCUGAAUUUAUCUACUGCUAAAUGAGUCACAGCAUGAGUCAGGGAGAGGAGAUGGAGAGAUUUGGAAGACAUGAACAACAAAUUCUACUGCUGAAUAAGAAAAAAAGUAUGCCUUCUGGACUAGAAGCAAGAAACUACAGAAGUAAGCCCUGUGCCAAGCUGCUAUUGCGCCCCAGCUUUAGGCAAGUGCAUUUGCCUCCAAAUAUUCAAUCCUAGAUUUUGUUUCCGUUAAGGGGUAUCCUUGCACUCAGGUAUCUGCUAACUAACCAAACUGCUCCUACAAAAUGACAUCAGUUGUUCUUAUUCUACUGAAAUACUCAGCUGCUCAUAUUUUGUGAGGAUGGGGUUAA